GAACAGCUUUUUGGGGUGCUUCUUGGCCAUUUGUGCAUCUUGUUUGCAGCACUGUCUUUUCAGAUCAGCUUUAAAAGUUGGUUGCAUACUUCCCUUGCUUAGACCAAAUGACAAACCCCACAGCACAGUACCAGGCCUGCACAACAGGGCCUUGUGCCCGUCUUUGAGUGCAUCUGCCCUCACUCUGCUAUGGCCAAGCCGACCUCAAAGCAGCAAGCCCGUUGCUGUGCAAGUCCUUUGCAGGGGGUUUCCCCUACCCCCCACUGCCACCCCAUCCUCCUUUGCAUGGGGAGCAGGUCUGGGGUCAGCCUCAGAAAGAGCUUCCCUGUUCUCUUGGUCUCAAGGGCCUUCCCUGACACCCCCCGCCCCAGGCUUUUUCUAUCCCCUCUCAAGGUUUCUUUUGAGUAUCCUUUUUAGUAUCUUAUAAAAUCCAGAAGAACUGGCCUCCUGUGUGACCCUGGGCAAGUGGCUGCCCCUCUCUGGGUCCCCGCUGCGCCAUCUGAAAACAGACACAGGUAUAUGAGCUGGCUGACCUCAUAGGGCCUUUCUAACUCUGCCCUUCAUUGAUGCCAGCUUCCCUGUGGUAGCUCUGCCAGGAGGCGUCGGCCUGGCGCCAUGGCAGUGAGAGAAAGGUGGCUAGAGCCAAGUUAGUCACGGAUCGUAGCAGGCAGCGUGGCUGAUUAUCACCAGCCCCGUGGGGACAGUCUCCAGGAGCAUGUGGCAGCCAGGAACAGUAGGAAGAAUUGUCAACAGGUCUGCCCAGGUCUCUACCUUGGCCACUUUCAGCUCUAGAGUCACCCACUUUCCCCAGGAGAGUAAUCUUCUAACCUCCAAACCCUCUCUGAGCAUAAGAGCCAUCUGGCCCCCUCACUCAGUCACUUAACAAACACUUCCUGGUGGUCUGCUUGUGCCUAGUCCUGGGUGCUGCCCCGAAGACAUAGAGACAGAUGAGUGCCACCCCUGCCCAAAGACUCAGGUGUCGUGGGGGAGGCAGGCUUGUAGCCAGCAGCAGGACAAAAGCAGCCCUGAAGUUGCGAGUAGACCCUAGAGACUGGAAUACCCACUGCCCUGACGGGGAAGCAGGAGGAUUCUCAGAGCUGGGUAUGGGGGUGAACGGGAGUGCAGCAGGUAGGCAGAGUGUCUGUGUAUUAAAGGCAUAGAAAGAGGUGUGGAGACAUGGCUGCAAAGCCUCCAGGUGUGCUCAGGGCAUUCAGAGCAAUUAGGUUUUGCCUGAGGCUCCGGGGACAGUGGAAGGAGGUAACAGAGGAUUCGAUUUGCUGAGAUCCUGAUCAUGGAAAGCCUGCAGUGCUGAGCAGAAGAGUGUGGACUUAGCCCUGGAGGCUGCAGGAGCCAGGAAGAGAUCGGAGGCUGAGGAUAGAGGCCAUCAGGUUGCACUUUUGAAAAGUGCCCUUUCCCUAAACAGCACAGAGGCCAGGGUGCUGGGGAGCGAAGGGGAGACCAGGCACCCCGUCUGGAUACCCUCGCUCUUUCCAGAUGAGCAGAAAUGAAGGCUGGAGCACUGCCGCUGGAGGGAAGGGGCAGAGCCUAAAGCCGUUUGGCAGACAGAAGCCCCCGAAGGAGAUCGGGGAGUCUAAAUAAUGAACGACACGGGAAAUGCCAAGGCCAGCCUCCCAGGCUGCUGUGAUGGGGAGGCAUGGGAGCUGUGCGAGCUGGCCCGUGAGGGUGGCGUUUUCCUGGUGGCUGAGACACGACCACAGAGGCAGAGGUAGAGGACACUCUGGCCUCUGAAGGCUGUAGGAGUCCCAGCUAUGGCGCCUCUGCCCGUCCCUUCCAGACGCAGAGCACUCACUACCCCGGAGA
Bos taurus (domestic cattle) is the source of this 1821-nucleotide long non-coding RNA. NCBI's taxonomy places the organism in Eukaryota, Metazoa, Chordata, Mammalia, Artiodactyla, Bovidae. The record is from Ensembl.